This 242-nucleotide ribosomal RNA is filed under the name uncultured bacterium. RNAcentral describes it as "partial 16S ribosomal RNA". It matches the Rfam family "Bacterial small subunit ribosomal RNA", at positions 64 to 334 of the family's 1533-position model. The record is from RNAcentral.
GAACGCAUCCUUCGGGAUGAGUGGCGCACGGGUGAGUAACACGUGGGAACGUACCUCGAAGUACGGGAUAACUAUUGGAAACGAUAGCUAAUACCGUAUACGCCCCAAGGGGGAAAGAUUUAUCGCUUCGAGAUCGGCCCGCGUCCGAUUAGCUAGUUGGUGAGGUAACGGCUCACCAAGGCGACGAUCGGUAGCUGGUCUGAGAGGAUGAUCAGCCACACUGGGACUGAGACACGGCCCAG